This 556-nucleotide ribosomal RNA is filed under the name uncultured Phenylobacterium sp. Its description in RNAcentral is "bacterial SSU rRNA". It matches the Rfam family "Bacterial small subunit ribosomal RNA", at positions 102 to 694 of the family's 1533-position model. Lineage: Bacteria; Pseudomonadati; Pseudomonadota; Alphaproteobacteria; Caulobacterales; Caulobacteraceae. The record is from RNAcentral.
ACGGGUGAGUAACGCGUGGGAAUGUGCCCUUUGGUACGGAACAACUGAGGGAAACUUCAGCUAAUACCGUAUGUGCCCUACGGGGGAAGAUUUAUCGCCAUUGGAGCAGCCCGCGUUGGAUUAGGUAGUUGGUGGGGUAAAGGCCCACCAAGCCGACGAUCCAUAGCUGGUCUGAGAGGAUGAUCAGCCACACUGGGACUGAGACACGGCCCAGACUCCUACGGGAGGCAGCAGUGGGGAAUCUUGCGCAAUGGGCGAAAGCCUGACGCAGCCAUGCCGCGUGUAUGAUGAAGGUCUUAGGAUUGUAAAAUACUUUCACCGGGGAAGAUAAUGACGGUACCCGGAGAAGAAGCCCCGGCUAACUUCGUGCCAGCAGCCGCGGUAAUACGAAGGGGGCUAGCGUUGCUCGGAAUUACUGGGCGUAAAGGGCGCGUAGGCGGACAGUUUAGUCAGAGGUGAAAGCCCAGGGCUCAACCUUGGAAUUGCCUUUGAUACUGGCUGUCUUGAGUUCGGGAGAGGUGAGUGGAAUGCCGAGUGUAGAGGUGAAAUUCGUAGA